This 253-nucleotide ribosomal RNA is filed under the name uncultured bacterium. RNAcentral's name for it is "partial 16S ribosomal RNA". It matches the Rfam family "Bacterial small subunit ribosomal RNA", at positions 524 to 776 of the family's 1533-position model. The record is from RNAcentral.
UACGUAGGUGGCAAGCGUUGUCCGGAAUUAUUGGGCGUAAAGCGCGCGCAGGCGGUCCUUUAAGUCUGAUGUGAAAGCCCACGGCUCAACCGUGGAGGGUCAUUGGAAACUGGGGGACUUGAGUACAGAAGAGAAGAGUGGAAUUCCACGUGUAGCGGUGAAAUGCGUAGAGAUGUGGAGGAACACCAGUGGCGAAGGCGACUCACUGGCCCGAUACUGACGCUGAGGCACGAAAGCGUGGGGAGCAAACAGG